GCAGUGAGGUACACAGCUCACCAGUGGCUCCAAGUGCAGAAAAGAGGAAGUAUUUGGCUUCCAACUGCUGUUAGGUACCUGGAAGAUAUGAAAACCUAUUGGACGACACUUGCUGUCUUGGCAGUGCUGACGGAGGGUGAUUUUCACACUGCUUUUUCCUGUUCCUGCAGGAAUGGAGAGGGGAAAGCAGGGAUUCAUAUGGAAGGAGGGGAAGUUCCUGCUGCCUCCAGCACUUUGCCCAUUUUUCCAGCAUCCUUCCAGCUGCAGCGUUUCCCAUUCACCUACUGGGAGUUCUUCAGUAAGAGCAGCAUCUGGGGGUGGUGGUUUU
RNAcentral lists this long non-coding RNA (328 nucleotides) under Gallus gallus (chicken). Lineage: Eukaryota; Metazoa; Chordata; Aves; Galliformes; Phasianidae. The record is from RNAcentral.